CGAGAACGUAAUUUGUUGUGGACAAAUGUGUACUUAUAUUACAUUAUUAUCAGCCAGUGGUGUGCCCAAAAAUGUUCAAUGGGGGUGGGAUAUGUGCUGUUAGUAGUAAUAUACAUUUCAAUGAAUUGUGGUGAUUCGACGACAAAAAUAGCUUGGAAAUGUUGUACGCGUUGGAAUCAAUUUCGAAAUUGAAUGCUGGAUCAUCGAAUUCAUUCAUUCGGCGAUAUUUGCCAUUAUAACACCACAUAUCCAAAAUGGGCCAACUAAAAUUGCUUUUGGAAGAUAAAAUGAAAUCGGGUUUCUUUCGUUCUAUUAAAUUAAUUUAACAAUUAUUAUAUAUUUACUAAUUUGUAAAAAAAAAUGUCUUACUUGACGUAGUCCAUGAUAAAUGCAAAGCCAAAAAAAUAAAAUUGCACAAAUAAAUGUUAUUUGGAAGACAUCAUCUAACAUUCUAAUUAGUUGAUUACUUGUGAGAAACGUCAAAGGAAAAAUUGGAUCUAAAAAGUAAAAACAUAUAACUAAUGUAAAUUUUACAUUUAAAUGUGUUCCUCAGAUUUCAUUAGAAUGCUUUUUAAUUAUACAUACCAUUAAACAAUAUUAACAGUGGCAAUAAGAUAACAGUCCAUUUUUGUUCAUACGACCAAUCUACCACUGGAAAUUUCCUUAAUGAAUUUGCAAAGGUACACUAAAAGCAAGUUACACAUUUCAUUGAAAAUAUUCAUAAAGUCAUUAUUAAAGCUAUACUUACAAGCACUGCAAAAGCUUGGAGUAAAAAAAUUAGUCUGAACCAUACUUCCAAAUGGGUGUAGUCUGGAUUGUACGUUUUAUA
Molecule: long non-coding RNA, 829 nt
Organism: Aphis gossypii (cotton aphid)
Lineage: Eukaryota; Metazoa; Arthropoda; Insecta; Hemiptera; Aphididae
Exons: 2
Source: RefSeq, a predicted model, not a curated record